Hyla sarda is the source of this 406-nucleotide long non-coding RNA. RefSeq lists it as uncharacterized. Lineage: Eukaryota; Metazoa; Chordata; Amphibia; Anura; Hylidae. The record is from RefSeq and is a predicted model, not a curated record. The transcript has 3 exons.
UAGUGGAGUUUGAAGUGUGACUGAGGUUGUGGACAGGUGUCUUUUAUACUGAUAACAAGUUCACACAGGAGCCAUUAAUACAGGUUUAGCACAGGAUGGCCUGUAUUGCAGUGCAUAGUAUCCCCCUGUUUGCCAUACUGGAUCCAAAUAAAACUCUCCACUCAAGGAAACCGCACCAGUCACAACAAGGUCCAGUAGAAUGCAGGCUAAAAGGCUGUAAAGUCAAAGACCGGACCUGGAGAAUACAUGAGGAACGCUUUGUGGCACACAGGAAACACCCCUGACCAAGUGCGCCUGCUGUGGAAGGACCCGCGCAACGUCGGCUGGAAGGAUAAGACCUCGUACCGCUGGCAGCUCAUGCAUCGGCCCCAGGUGGGCUACAUCAGGUCAGAUUAUAUGUUGGCCC